This 250-nucleotide ribosomal RNA is filed under the name uncultured bacterium. Its description in RNAcentral is "partial 16S ribosomal RNA". It matches the Rfam family "Bacterial small subunit ribosomal RNA", at positions 796 to 1041 of the family's 1533-position model. The record is from RNAcentral.
CUAGCAGUAAACGGUGCAUAUUUGGUGUGGGCGCAAUCGACCGCGUCCGCGCCGGAGCUAACGCGUUAAAUAUGCCGCCUGGGAAGUACGGUCGCAAGAUUAAAACUCAAAGAAAUUGACGGGGACCCGCACAAGCGGUGGAGUAUGUGGCUUAAUUCGAUGCAACGCGAAGAACCUUACCUGGUCUUGACAUGCAUUGUGUCUCCGGUGAAAGCCGGAUAGGGUAGCAAUACCCGCUUUGCACAGGUGC